This 291-nucleotide long non-coding RNA is filed under the name Malus domestica (apple). RNAcentral's name for it is "long non-coding RNA (MDOM_LNC013435)". The record is from RNAcentral. Lineage: Eukaryota; Viridiplantae; Streptophyta; Magnoliopsida; Rosales; Rosaceae.
GCCAUAAAACCUUCGUAGAACAUAUAUCAUAUAGUAUUCUUAGUAGUGGAAUCACCCGAGGGCACUACAUCUCUCGACCGAAGCCAUAUAUAAGUAUCUUCCGCUCGUAGGCACUACAUCUCCCAACCGAAGCCAAAAAUAAGUAUCUUCCACCUGUAGGCACUACAUCCCCUGGCCAAAGCCAUAUAUAAGUAUCAUUCACCCGUAGGCACAUAAUAUCUCAGUAACGUAAAUUCGAUAAAGCAUGAUAAUUCAUAAAGCAUAAAUGUCACAGCCAGUCCCGAGAUUUUA